GCCAAUUAAUUCAAGACUAACCAUUAAAUAAAGGGCCAUUCAUCUUUUUCAUGUAGAAGUUUCAAGAACACAAAACUUGAGCACAAAAGAGAGAGGGUUUCGGCUAGAGAGAGGAAGAGAAAGAAAAAAAAAUUUAGCUCAUCAAUUCUUGGUCCAAAAAUCAUAAUCUUCUAGUAUUCCUAUUAAGUUGGAAACCCUCUUCAAUGUGAUACAAAUUUUGAAGCAAAAGAGUACUUUUUUUACAAAGUGGAAAUUCUUGAAAAAGAUAUUGGAGAGCCCGAGACUUGAGUCGGGAUUUGUUUGGCGAGUGAUCGAGAUUUGGUAGUGAGCGAUCGAGGUACAGACGUUUGUUCUGCUGACUCGCCAGUGUAGGAUACAUUCUGCUACUUUGGAGUGCUCAUUUGACUCGGAGCCCAUACUUUUGGUAAAGAUCUCUCAUUGUAUAUGUAUCUGUAUAUAUGUAAGACUAUCUGGGGUACGGCGGGGCCCUGUCCCGUCAUAUGUUUUUGUUAUGUUUUGUAGAGGCUUGUAGUCAUAUAUGUGGGUUGUGGGUCAUGGGUCAUGUUUGUUCGUUUGUGAUUAUGAUCUGCGUCUUAAUGCGGCCCCGUUUACUAUUAUGGCCAAAACGGCUCAUUUGUCUGUAUAUGCAUAUAUAUCUGGCGAUGUGUAUUCCGCCAAUCUAUUGGAUUUGGAUAUGAUGUUUCUGUACGGGCGACCGCUUAAGAUGAUAUUUGUUUUCAAUAUUUUGCUUAAAAUGACGUAUGUUAAGUUUGAAUGAAUUUUGCUA
Molecule: long non-coding RNA, 787 nt
Organism: Lycium barbarum (goji berry)
Lineage: Eukaryota; Viridiplantae; Streptophyta; Magnoliopsida; Solanales; Solanaceae
Exons: 3
Source: RefSeq, a predicted model, not a curated record